Molecule: long non-coding RNA, 412 nt
Filed under: Nicotiana benthamiana
Lineage: Eukaryota; Viridiplantae; Streptophyta; Magnoliopsida; Solanales; Solanaceae
Description: long non-coding RNA (NBEN_LNC025790)
Source: RNAcentral
CCGUCAAUCUCUCCGUCCCCCUGAAUCACAGACCCAAGAUAUCGGACACUGUCCCUCUUGGCGAUGGCCUGAGAACCAAGCAUCACUUCCCUGCCUAUCCCACUCGGCUCGUCGCCAAACUUGCACUCCAGAUAUUGUAUCUUAGAUCUGCUUAUUUUGAAACCCUUAGACUCGAGGGUCUGUCUCCAUACCUCUGACCUUUCACUAACACCGGCCCUCGUCUUGUCUAUCAAUAUUAUAUCAUCAGCAAAGAGCAUACACCAAGGCACAUCCCCUUGGAUAUGUCGGGUUAGAGCAUCCAUCACUAAGGNNAUCAAUAUUAUAUCAUCAGCAAAGAGCAUACACCAAGGCACAUCCCCUUGGAUAUGUCGGGUUAGAGCAUCUAUCACUAAGGCGAACAACAGGGGGCUCC